This 488-nucleotide ribosomal RNA is filed under the name Klebsiella pneumoniae. RNAcentral describes it as "bacterial SSU rRNA". It matches the Rfam family "Bacterial small subunit ribosomal RNA", at positions 42 to 520 of the family's 1533-position model. Lineage: Bacteria; Pseudomonadati; Pseudomonadota; Gammaproteobacteria; Enterobacterales; Enterobacteriaceae. The record is from RNAcentral.
GCAGGCCUAACACAUGCAAGUCGAGCGGUAGCACAGAGAGCUUGCUCUCGGGUGACGAGCGGCGGACGGGUGAGUAAUGUCUGGGAAACUGCCUGAUGGAGGGGGAUAACUACUGGAAACGGUAGCUAAUACCGCAUAACGUCGCAAGACCAAAGUGGGGGACCUUCGGGCCUCAUGCCAUCAGAUGUGCCCAGAUGGGAUUAGCUAGUAGGUGGGGUAACGGCUCACCUAGGCGACGAUCCCUAGCUGGUCUGAGAGGAUGACCAGCCACACUGGAACUGAGACACGGAUCCAGACUCCUACGGGAGGCAGCAGUGGGGAAUAUUGCACAAUGGGCGCAAGCCUGAUGCAGCCAUGCCGCGUGUGUGAAGAAGGCCUUCGGGUUGUAAAGCACUUUCAGCGGGGAGGAAGGCGGUAAGGUUAAUAACCUCGUCGAUUGACGUUACCCGCAGAAGAAGCACCGGCUAACUCCGUGCCAGCAGCCGCGG